Molecule: long non-coding RNA, 485 nt
Organism: Papaver somniferum (opium poppy)
Lineage: Eukaryota; Viridiplantae; Streptophyta; Magnoliopsida; Ranunculales; Papaveraceae
Exons: 2
Source: RefSeq, a predicted model, not a curated record
GCAGAAACACUUUCCCCUUCGACAUUGUUGUUCUUCCUAAGCUCUUUUCUACGCAGCUCAAAAUCACUCCUUCACAUAAAUCUUCAACGUUUCAAGCAAUCUCAGCACAUCAAUGAAAGAGAUGAAGAUUUAAGUCAUUCGUUCUUAUCUUCUUCGAUUAGAUGAGUUAAAUGCAAGAUCAGGUUUCGUGUUUUCAUCCAUGUCGAGGUCCAAGGAUAACUGAGCUACUGCCACAGCUAACUGUGAGCGAGAAAGAAAGAAAAAAGCAACCCAACAUCAAAGACAUGCUCACUUACAACUGUGAGCUUUCAAUGUAGUUCAUACGGUGUAAGCGACUUUGGUUUUAUUUAACUUCCAUGAUAAGUAUAAAUGUAGUAAAUGACUGCAUUUCUUAAACAUUUUUGAAUCUGGGACCUGCAUAUAUGUAGAAUGAUCAGAUAUUGGGUAUCAUAGAAUACAAGAGGUGUGGCCAAGACUUGAAUUUA